This 468-nucleotide ribosomal RNA is filed under the name uncultured bacterium. Its description in RNAcentral is "partial 16S ribosomal RNA". It matches the Rfam family "Bacterial small subunit ribosomal RNA", at positions 28 to 507 of the family's 1533-position model. The record is from RNAcentral.
GACGAACGCUGGCGGCGGGCUUAACACAUGCAAGUCGAACGGAAAGGCACUGCUUUUGUGGGGUGCUCGAGUGGCGAACGGGUGAGUAACACGUGAGUAACCUGCCCUUGACUUUGGGAUAACUUCAGGAAACUGGGGCUAAUACAGGAUAGGAGCUCCUGCUGCAUGGUGGGGGUUGGAAAUUUGCGGCGGUUGGGGCUGGACUCGCGGCUUAUCAGCUUGUUGGUGGGGUAGUGGCUGACCAAGGCUGUGACGGGUAGCCGGCCUGAGAGGGUGACCGGCCACAAUGGGACUGCGAUACGGCCCAGUCUCCUACGGGAGGCAGCAGUGGGGAAUAUUGCACAAUGGGCGGAAGCCUGAUGCAGCAACGCCGCGUGCGGGAUGACGGCCUUCGGGUUGUAAACCGCUUUCGCCUGUGACGAAGCGGGAGUGACGGUAAUGGGUAAAGAAGCACCGGCUAACUACGUG